GUUUUGUCAGAGAGAGAGAGAGAGAAUUCUUUUAUUGAGAGAAUCAAAGUUAUUAUGAAGUGUAUUUUCAGUGUCAAAACAGAAAAUAGAAGGCUCUUUCUCUGUUUUAUGAUAGCUGUAGUGAUAAACUUGAUUUACAGUACAGAGGAUUACCUACCAGGCAUUUUCCCAGCCCAGUUGGAAAUCUGUAUUGAAUUCCAAAGAAUGAGCAAAGGCCACUUGCAAUAGCGAGAUCUUGUUAAUGAAAAGCAUUUUUAUUAACGUCCCUAGAUUUGAAAGAGUAAAUAGUUAAAGGGAAAGGUGUUGUAUUAACUUCUGAAAUCCAGGGUAAAAUCUGCUAGGUAGCCUGAAAAUUAUGGAAGACCAACAUCAUCAUUUAUACGCAAACUUACAUGUGUAUGAAUGCAUUUAAGUAGCUGCUGUGGAAAGAACAUGAGGCUGCAUGCAUGAAUUUGUAUCUGGGUCUCACAUUUCAUGCGAGUUACCUAAUAAAUUAUCAUAAGGAAGAUACCAACGUUGUCUUCUCCUCAUGAGGCCAAAUUUGGCAUCUAUGUUCUGAGAACACCUCUGGAUUAGAUCCUACAGACAAGACUGAAUUUUAAGUGUGCGCGCCUGCGUGUGGCUUCUGAACAUUGACCUAAUUCAGUUAAAAACAAAAACUGUGGCAUGACCUCCCCUUUGGCUUUGGAGUUUUCUGCUUUGUAAAAGCUCAGUGUUCUUGUGACCACCAUGGAAGGAGCCCGGAGCAGCAUCUGGUUCCAAGAAAUAUGAGUUGUUCCCAUGUGUAACAGCAAAAGGUGGUACCAGAAGGUGGAGAGGACAGAAGCUUAAUGGAUCAAGUUGGGAAAGCACGAAGACAUGCGUGAGUGAGAGUGAAAGCUGGAAACCAGAGCAGAAGAACUUGGGGGUUGACCCAGAAUUUUAAAAAGGGGGCACAGGAGCAGCAGCUGGUACUGCUUGGGUGACUGAACCCUUGCUCCCAGCCUCCCCUGCUACCAGGGCAGACAGACCACACUGCAGGAGCAGCAGCUAGGAACUUUUUAAAGUCCCUGAAUCAGGGAGACUGAUGGGGCUUCAAUCCACAUGGAUCCAACCCCAGGCUUCUGCUUUGUGAAAAGGAAAACUAAACAGGUCCCAUCACCUCAGGAUCAAAUAGUCAGAGGUACAUUUCUAAACAGCAAAAUGGAAAAAAAAUAGUAUCCUGGAUUCUCUGAUGGCAGUGACAUCAAAAGUACAGUGUAACCAAUCAUACCUGUGCCAAACUAAAGGAGCUUGGUGAAAAAGCCAGAUGCCAUCUUUCACCAGACUACACUUCAGUCUUAGGUUUAAAGCUAGAUUUCCUGAGGUGAAAGGCAUAAACUUAUUGAGCAAAGCACUGACUGUUAUAGAAUCUUUUCAUUUUCUCUCUAAAGGCUUUUAGCACAAUUGAUUACUGUCUGGCAAGACACAGAUGUUUUAAAUGAGCUUCUGCUGGGGAGAAAAUAAAUUAGGACUCCAGAAUGACUAACAUGUGACAGAUGUAAAAUAAAGGUUUGAAAAUGUACACAGGGCUUGUUGAACAGGCAUGAAAAUUAUAAGGACACUCAAACUUGGACAGGGUUUUAAUACAGGCUGCCAGCAUUUCUAGCUGCUUUUGGUGUCAUUGCUCCUAUGUCAUUCAGGUUAGUAGCUACCACUACUGACCAUACGCCAGUGGGUAGAGCAUAGGGUCAGAAGUCCAGGGCGCCACUUAGAGCAGCUUCUGGUGUCUUGUUUGAGCUGAAUACAUACGGCACAAUUUUGUUCUGUUAUUCUUAUGAAAAACAGAUGCUCAGCCUACACUGAGAACUAUUUCUUAAGACUUAAGCAAAUCAAAUCAGUAUCUUAAGGCCUCACAUAUUUUAUUUCCUGUAUGUGACAAAGAUCCUGAAACUUGGAAUGCCACUUUAGGUUUUUUUUGCUUUUUAAGAAAACUCCAAUAUCUGGAGAGAAAAUUGACUGUAAAUCUUCCUCACAUCCUUUGACUGGGGUAUUCAUUGAGGAGUCAGUUAACUAAAGAACACAUUAGCUGAGAACUAUACAUCCCCCACUAGUAAAAGUAAUUUGAAUUCAAAUCAAAAUAGCAAUAUCUCCCCCUCCAUGUAUGACACAUCACCAACAUGAUAGCAUUAGAGAGGGCAUUUGUGAGAUAUGUAAGAGGUGCUGUUUUUCUCUGGGCAAUAUGUCAUAUCAAGCUUUAUAACUUAGCCAACAAUCCAACAGCAUUGAGUGUAAUAACCUCACUAGCAUGUCUAAGUAUUAUGAAUGUGUCAGGAUGAUGAAUUUACUGUAACAAUAUCACUGGUGGUAGCACAUGCAAUGAACUGUAUCUCAAUCAAUCAUUUUCAAUGCAAUCAUGGAACCCAUACAGACAACUUCAGGGUUUAUAGAUGAAGGGUUGGAGCGCGGGGGGCAAUGGAAGAGUAAGGAGAGGAGCAGAUGAUAAUUGCUGGACUCGUUUGGUUUGGUUGUGAUUGUUUGAAAGGCAGAGUAUCCAUGUUUGCUUUGUUUUGUUAAGGACCUCCAGCAGGGUGCUUUAUCUAGGCCCCUGUUGCUCAAAGAAGGUUGAAAGAAUGUCCAGGGAGGAGCAUGUCUGAGUCUUAAUAAAAUGACUAUUGGAAAGAAGUCUUACAAACUGAAAA
Molecule: long non-coding RNA, 2660 nt
Organism: Alligator mississippiensis (American alligator)
Lineage: Eukaryota; Metazoa; Chordata; Crocodylia; Alligatoridae
Exons: 8
Source: RefSeq, a predicted model, not a curated record